Molecule: ribosomal RNA, 273 nt
Filed under: uncultured bacterium
Lineage: Bacteria
Description: partial 16S ribosomal RNA
Rfam family: Bacterial small subunit ribosomal RNA
Source: RNAcentral
UACGUAGGUGACAAGCGUUGUCCGGAAUUAUUGGGCGUAAAGGGAGCGCAGGCGGUUGGAAUAGUCUGAUGUGAAAGCCCACGGCUUAACCGUGGAAUUGCAUUGGAAACUGUCCAACUUGAAUGCAGAAGAGGAAAGCGGAAUUCCAUGUGUAGCGGUGAAAUGCGUAGAUAUAUGGAGGAACACCAGUGGCGAAGGCGGCUUUCUGGUCUGUGAUUGACGCUGAGGCUCGAAAGCGUGGGGAGCGAACAGGAUUAGAUACCCCCGUAGUCC